GACUGAUUGUUCUCAGGAAUCUGUUGUCUCCAGGCAGUUAAGGAGAACAUCAAUCAAUUAUUCUUGCCAAGAUAUGUGCACGUUUUCUUCAUAUGCAUAUUGAAGAAAUUGCGAACUUUUGCGUGUGUGCAGAAUUACACCUUCUGCUAAACCGGAGCCAGAAAGUCACUUCUUUUUUUUUUUUUUUUUUGAGGAAGAUUAGCCCUGAGCUAACAUCCAUGCCCACCUUCCUCCACUUUUUAUAUGUGGGAUGCCUACCACAGCGUGGCUUGCCAAGCGGUGCCAUGUCCGCACCCCGGAUCUGAACCAGUGAACCCCAGGGCGCCGAAGUGGAACAUGGACACUUAACUGCUGUGCCACCGGGCAAGCCCCAAGAAAGUCACUUCUGAAAGUAUAUUUCCCCUCAAAGACUGUUUCUUUAUAAAAGUGCUGAUCUAGGACAUAGCAGCAGUAGAAUCCACUUUGGGAAACUGUGCGAUCACUAACCUGAACGUGGAUGUGGAAGAUAUUACAAUUGUAAGAAUGGUCUAGUAGAAUAAUGAGUUUCAUGGACAAGAAAUCCAGAUGUUUCCCAGACAAGAGAAAAGCAGGAAAAUGGGAGUGACUAAACCCUUGAAGGGCUGUUGGAUCCUCCUGUUACUGCUCAGACCUGUCUCUUCAGAGAAGCAGUGUAGGAUCAACCGAAGAGCCAAGAUGCAGCCUCGCGGAUGUGGGCCUUGGUCUUCCCACUGCCUGUCCUCACAGCCUUGGACACCUCAGAACUCUGUGAAUACGUGAUGCAGGCCAGGAUGCUAACUAACCCCAGUUUGGUUUGGGUUCAUGUGGGAGUUCCAGAAGACCACUGAAAUUUGAUGACCAGGUCGAGAUAACUUUUUUUAAAACCACCUUAUUGAGAUCAGAAGCUACUUAGAGAACAAAGCUUUAGGUUUGGAAUUUUUAGAUAUCCCCAUGCAGUGUCUAGAACAACAAUGUGAUGAAGACAUUCCAGCUCAAAGGAUUUGCCACAGAUCCCACAACUGGUGAAUUGCAG
RNAcentral lists this long non-coding RNA (1030 nucleotides) under Equus caballus (horse). Its description in RNAcentral is "lncRNA (ENSECAG00000046541.1)". The record is from RNAcentral. Lineage: Eukaryota; Metazoa; Chordata; Mammalia; Perissodactyla; Equidae.